UAGUUUGGCUACCCAAUCAAAGUGACUCAACUAGAAUUAGAAUCAAAGGAUAACAGAUGUUAAACCUAAGCGUACGACAAACUUAGCCAUAAAUUACUAACCUAAUUCUCUGGUGCAUAGUCAAUCAAGCAAGCAACUGUGCAGAAAAUGUUGAAAAAUAGAGAAGGACCUGAUUAGAGAGCUGUACUCUCCAGAAGUGGCUGCUCAAAUUUUAGCUAUCCCUAUCUCAAGCUGUGGAGUUACUGAUAAGCUGCUAUGGCCUCAUACAACACAACUUAGUAUGCACAAGCCUGUUAUGCACAACAUGUUGAUUAGAGUAACUACUAGAGAGUCCCAAGGCGAGUGUGUCCAGUCGUGGAGGGAUGGCAAGUGUUGCUGACAAUUGAGGGGCACUGGCAGAGCAGAUGCAAAUGGGGUUGUUUUGCCUAUGUAGCUAAAUAAUGGGCUGGUAGAUAAUUUUUCAGGCUGUUUCAGUAAUACCAUAUGCAAACGAGUGGAAGCUUACUGUUUGAGAAGCAUAUUUUCCAGGCUUGUUUCUGAGUGUUAGGAAUCUGAGCUUGUAUAUAUAUUUAAAUAUAUGUGCAAUCACCAUCUAAAUAAAAAGGUCUCACGAUAGACAAUCUUCAAAGCAAAAACAAGUCUGAUUUUAUCUGUCACCAAAACAUUGCUGUCAAUGACUCAAUUAUUAGACCUGCCACAUAAUAAAAUAUGGAACUGUAACUAUCAGUAA
Long non-coding RNA from Quercus robur (English oak), 730 nucleotides. RefSeq lists it as uncharacterized. NCBI's taxonomy places the organism in Eukaryota, Viridiplantae, Streptophyta, Magnoliopsida, Fagales, Fagaceae. The transcript has 3 exons. The record is from RefSeq and is a predicted model, not a curated record.